This 146-nucleotide microRNA precursor is filed under the name Tursiops truncatus (common bottlenose dolphin). Its description in RNAcentral is "miRNA (ENSTTRG00000021550.1)". Lineage: Eukaryota; Metazoa; Chordata; Mammalia; Artiodactyla; Delphinidae. The record is from RNAcentral.
CAGGAUGCCCAGUUAAAUUUGAAUUUCAGCUAAAAAUGUAUAAUUUAUUUUAGUUUAAGUAUGUCUCGUAUAAUAUUUGGGAUAUACUUAUGCUAAAAACUUUUUCAUUAUUUAUCUGAUAUUCAAAUUUAAUUGGGAGUCCUAUA